GACGAACGCUGGCGGCGUGCUUAACACAUGCAAGUCGAACGGAAAGGCCCUGCUUUUGUGGGGUGCUCGAGUGGCGAACGGGUGAGUAACACGUGAGUAACCUGCCCUUGACUUUGGGAUAACUUCAGGAAACUGGGGCUAAUACCGGAUAGGAGCUCCUGCUGCAUGGUGGGGGUUGGAAAGUUUCGGCGGUUGGGGAUGGACUCGCGGCUUAUCAGCUUGUUGGUGGGGUAGUGGCUUACCAAGGCUUUGACGGGUAGCCGGCCUGAGAGGGUGACCGGCCACAUUGGGACUGAGAUACGGCCCAGACUCCUACGGGAGGCAGCAGUGGGGAAUAUUGCACAAUGGGCGGAAGACUGAUGCAGCAACGCCGCGUGCGGGAUGACGGCCUUCGGGUUGUAACCCGCUUUCGCCUGUGACGAAGCGUGAGUGACGGUAAUGGGUAAAGAAGCACCGGCUAACUACGUG
This 468-nucleotide ribosomal RNA is filed under the name uncultured bacterium. RNAcentral describes it as "partial 16S ribosomal RNA". It matches the Rfam family "Bacterial small subunit ribosomal RNA", at positions 28 to 507 of the family's 1533-position model. The record is from RNAcentral.